UACGGAGGGUGCGAGCGUUAUCCGGAAUCACUGGGCGUAAAGGGCGCGUAGGCGGUUUGUUAAGUCCGAUGUUAAAGACCGAGGCUCAACCUCGAUACGGCGUUGGAUACUGACAAGCUGGACGGUUGGAGAGGAAGGUAGAAUUACCAGUGUAGCGGUGGAAUGCGUAGAUACUGGUAGGAAUACCCAUUGCGAAGGCAGCCUUCUGGACAACACGUGACGCUGAGGCGCGAAAGUGUGGGGAGCAAACCGGAUUAGAACCCCAGUAGUCC
RNAcentral lists this ribosomal RNA (272 nucleotides) under uncultured prokaryote. RNAcentral's name for it is "partial 16S ribosomal RNA". It matches the Rfam family "Bacterial small subunit ribosomal RNA", at positions 524 to 796 of the family's 1533-position model. The record is from RNAcentral.